UACAGAGGUCCCAAGCGUUGUUCGGAUUCACUGGGCGUAAAGGGUGCGUAGGCGGUCGGGUAAGUCUGACGUGAAAUCUCCAAGCUCAACUUGGAAAUGGCGUCGGAUACUAUUCGGCUCGAGGAAUGGAGGGGAGACUGGAAUUCUCGGUGUAGCAGUGAAAUGCGUAGAGAUCAUGAGGAAGACCAGUGGCGAAGGCGGGUCUCUGGGCCGAUACUGACGCUGAGGAGCGAAAGCGUGGGGAGCGAACAGG
RNAcentral lists this ribosomal RNA (253 nucleotides) under uncultured bacterium. RNAcentral describes it as "partial 16S ribosomal RNA". It matches the Rfam family "Bacterial small subunit ribosomal RNA", at positions 524 to 776 of the family's 1533-position model. The record is from RNAcentral.